This 2736-nucleotide ribosomal RNA is filed under the name Vibrio parahaemolyticus. RNAcentral describes it as "partial 23S ribosomal RNA". It matches the Rfam family "Bacterial large subunit ribosomal RNA". The record is from RNAcentral. Lineage: Bacteria; Pseudomonadati; Pseudomonadota; Gammaproteobacteria; Vibrionales; Vibrionaceae.
GAGGCGAACCGGGGGAACUGAAACAUCUAAGUACCCCGAGGAAAAGAAAUCAACCGAGAUUCCGAAAGUAGCGGCGAGCGAAAUUGGACUAGCCCUUAAGCUUUACACGCGUUAGACGAACGGUCUGGAAAGUCCGACGAUACAGGGUGAUAGUCCCGUAGUUGACGACGUGUGUUCAGUGAAAUCGAGUAGGGCGGGACACGUGAUAUCCUGUCUGAAUAUGGGGGGACCAUCCUCCAAGGCUAAAUACUACUGACUGACCGAUAGUGAACCAGUACCGUGAGGGAAAGGCGAAAAGAACCCCUGUGAGGGGAGUGAAAUAGAACCUGAAACCGUGUACGUACAAGCAGUAGGAGCAGGCUUGUCCUGUGACUGCGUACCUUUUGUAUAAUGGGUCAGCGACUUAUAUUCAGUGGCAAGGUUAACCAUCUAGGGGAGCCGUAGGGAAACCGAGUCUUAACUGGGCGUUCAGUCUCUGGAUAUAGACCCGAAACCAGGUGAUCUAGCCAUGGGCAGGUUGAAGGUUGAGUAACAUCAACUGGAGGACCGAACCGACUAAUGUUGAAAAAUUAGCGGAUGACUUGUGGCUAGGGGUGAAAGGCCAAUCAAACCUGGAGAUAGCUGGUUCUCCCCGAAAGCUAUUUAGGUAGCGCCUCGGACGAAUACUACUGGGGGUAGAGCACUGUUAAGGCUAGGGGGUCAUCCCGACUUACCAACCCUUUGCAAACUCCGAAUACCAGUAAGUACUAUCCGGGAGACACACGGCGGGUGCUAACGUCCGUCGUGGAGAGGGAAACAACCCAGACCGCCAGCUAAGGUCCCAAAUUACUACUAAGUGGGAAACGAUGUGGGAAGGCUCAGACAGCCAGGAUGUUGGCUUAGAAGCAGCCAUCAUUUAAAGAAAGCGUAAUAGCUCACUGGUCGAGUCGGCCUGCGCGGAAGAUGUAACGGGGCUAAGUAGUAAACCGAAGCUGCGGCAAUAUACUUUUGUAUAUUGGGUAGGGGAGCGUUCUGUAAGCGGUUGAAGGUGUGUGGUAACGCAUGCUGGACGUAUCAGAAGUGCGAAUGCUGACAUGAGUAACGAUAAAGGGGGUGAAAAACCUCCUCGCCGGAAGACCAAGGGUUCCUGUCCAACGUUAAUCGGGGCAGGGUAAGUCGACCCCUAAGGCGAGGCCGAAAGGCGUAGUCGAUGGGAAACGGGUUAAUAUUCCCGUACUUCUUACAAUUGCGAUGGGGGGACGGAGAAGGCUAGGUGGGCCUGGCGACGGUUGUCCAGGUUCAAGUGCGUAGGCUUGAGAGUUAGGUAAAUCCGGCUCUCUUUAAGGCUGAGACACGACGUCGAGCAUCUACGGAUGUGAAGUCAUUGAUGCCAUGCUUCCAGGAAAAGCCUCUAAGCUUCAGAUUGUAAGGAAUCGUACCCCAAACCGACACAGGUGGUCGGGUAGAGAAUACCAAGGCGCUUGAGAGAACUCGGGUGAAGGAACUAGGCAAAAUGGUACCGUAACUUCGGGAGAAGGUACGCUCUUGAUGGUGAAGUCCCUUGCGGAUGGAGCUGACGAGAGUCGCAGAUACCAGGUGGCUGCAACUGUUUAUUAAAAACACAGCACUGUGCAAAAUCGUAAGAUGACGUAUACGGUGUGACGCCUGCCCGGUGCCGGAAGGUUAAUUGAUGGGGUUAGACUUCGGUCGAAGCUCUUGAUCGAAGCCCCGGUAAACGGCGGCCGUAACUAUAACGGUCCUAAGGUAGCGAAAUUCCUUGUCGGGUAAGUUCCGACCUGCACGAAUGGCGUAAUGAUGGCCACGCUGUCUCCACCCGAGACUCAGUGAAAUUGAAAUCGCUGUGAAGAUGCAGUGUACCCGCGGCUAGACGGAAAGACCCCGUGAACCUUUACUACAGCUUGGCACUGAACAUUGACCCUACAUGUGUAGGAUAGGUGGGAGGCUUUGAAGCACGUACGCCAGUAUGUGUGGAGCCGUCCUUGAAAUACCACCCUUGUAGUGUUGAUGUUCUAACGUCGACCCCUUAUCGGGGUUGCGGACAGUGCCUGGUGGGUAGUUUGACUGGGGCGGUCUCCUCCCAAAGAGUAACGGAGGAGCACGAAGGUGGGCUAAUCACGGUUGGACAUCGUGAGGUUAGUGCAAUGGCAUAAGCCCGCUUGACUGCGAGAAUGACAAUUCGAGCAGGUGCGAAAGCAGGUCAUAGUGAUCCGGUGGUUCUGAAUGGAAGGGCCAUCGCUCAACGGAUAAAAGGUACUCCGGGGAUAACAGGCUGAUACCGCCCAAGAGUUCAUAUCGACGGCGGUGUUUGGCACCUCGAUGUCGGCUCAUCACAUCCUGGGGCUGAAGUCGGUCCCAAGGGUAUGGCUGUUCGCCAUUUAAAGUGGUACGCGAGCUGGGUUUAGAACGUCGUGAGACAGUUCGGUCCCUAUCUGCCGUGGGCGUUGGAAGAUUGAAGGGGGCUGCUCCUAGUACGAGAGGACCGGAGUGGACGAACCUCUGGUGUUCGGGUUGUGUCGCCAGACGCAUUGCCCGGUAGCUAAGUUCGGAAUCGAUAACCGCUGAAAGCAUCUAAGCGGGAAGCGAGCCCUGAGAUGAGUCUUCCCUGAUACUUUAAGUAUCCUAAAGGGUUGUCGGAGACUACGACGUUGAUAGGUCAGGUGUGUAAGUGCUGUGAGGCAUUGAGCUAACUGAUACUAAUUGCCCGUGAGGCUUAACCAUACAACACCCAAGGGGUUU